CUUGGUUGGCGCGACGGUUUGAUUGGGUGUGCUAUGCUCUAGAUGUCCUUGUUCAUUUUCAGCGUGUGUAGUUUAUGAAGUAUUUAACUCAAUCAUCGGUGUGACCGCUCUAGGUCGUGGUUGUUAUCGUUUGGGACCGCAGCCGGUUAUGGAUUGCAUGGAUUAGUAGCAACUUUGUUGCGAAGCUUUGACAUACAAACCGUCAGACGGUCAGACAGUACACCGGCACGCCUGAAGACCACAGCUAAGAUCUCUUGUUCUUCCCUAUAUCGUUCCAGUGCUUUACCCUGCAACAGACUUUCGAUUUUUCAAAUGCACUUCCUAUUGAAGUUCAUUAAAGCUGGACUAUUAUUGCCCUGCCAGAAGUAUUUGGGUGGACAUUUGAGUUAAAAGUGAGGUUGCUUGCAAGUUGUGUAUUGUUAUUUUAACUAUUGAGUUGGUGUGUACUAAUGACAUGUGGCCAAGAAGAUUGUGGACAUUUUAAGGCCUUUGUUUUGUCUCUGGACACCCCCCACAUUCAUACCUUCUGCACUCCUCCACUGGAAGACAGAACCAGCCCCUUGUCCAGCCUGCUGUCAGACCCAGACCUGGCCUCUCUGGAUAGGCUGGAGGCACCAGAGGAGCACCAAGCCUUAGACUACUCCUACCACCCCAGCCUCACCCAACAGGGGGGGGAGAGGGAGAAGUUGGGUCUACAGACUGACACCCCGGAAGCUUGGAGCUCUGAUAUAGAGCUCUCUUAGACAUGAGAUUCUCUCCCGGCGUGUUCCUCAUCCCAGGCCAAAUAUAUCACCAUCGUCCGUGAAGACCGAAGAGACCAAGAGAGCAGCAAAGAUUUGCAUCUCAUUUUAAGGAUGAACAUUAGCACUUUCUCUAAAUACUAUUUGAUGUUGUGAUGUAUAUACGGUUGGGUGUAUGUUUUCUAAAGGUUUAUGAAUGUCCACACAUCUUGAUUACAUAAGUGGCUGCUCAUGUACAGUGCUUUCUAAUUAUGUAAAGAAUGUGUGAAUUUAAUAUAAAUAUUGGUUUUAUUAAUUAAAUGGUUUGCCAGUGUUUUUUAUUGCUGUGUGCACCCAUG
Molecule: long non-coding RNA, 1078 nt
Organism: Oncorhynchus tshawytscha (Chinook salmon)
Lineage: Eukaryota; Metazoa; Chordata; Actinopteri; Salmoniformes; Salmonidae
Source: Ensembl